Molecule: ribosomal RNA, 253 nt
Filed under: uncultured bacterium
Lineage: Bacteria
Description: partial 16S ribosomal RNA
Rfam family: Bacterial small subunit ribosomal RNA
Source: RNAcentral
UACAGAGGUCCCAAGCGUUGUUCGGAUUCAUUGGGCGUAAAGGGUGCGUAGGUGGCGCCGUAAGUGGGGUGUGAAAUUUCGGAGCUUAACUCCGAAACUGCAUUCCAUACUGCGGUGCUUGAGGACUGGAGAGGAGACUGGAAUUCAUGGUGUAGCAGUGAAAUGCGUAGAGAUCAUGAGGAAGACCAGUGGCGAAGGCGGGUCUCUGGACAGUUCCUGACACUGAGGCACGAAGGCCAGGGGAGCAAACGGG